GACGAACGCUGGCGGCGCGCCUAACACAUGCAAGUCGAACGGAGCUGAGAGAAGCUUGCUUUUCUUAGCUUAGUGGCGAACGGGUGAGUAACGCGUGAGUAACCUGCCCUGGAGUGGGGGACAACAGUUGGAAACGACUGCUAAUACCGCAUAAGCCCACGAUCCGGCAUCGGAUUGAGGGAAAAGGAUUUAUUCGCUUCAGGAUGGACUCGCGUCCAAUUAGCUAGUUGGUGAGGUAACGGCCCACCAAGGCGACGAUUGGUAGCCGGACUGAGAGGUUGAACGGCCACAUUGGGACUGAGACACGGCCCAGACCCCUACGGGAGGCAGCAGUGGGGGAUAUUGCACAAUGGGGGAAACCCUGAUGCAGCGACGCCGCGUGGAGGAAGAAGGUUUUCGGAUUGUAAACUCCUGUCGUUAGGGACGAUAAUGACGGUACCUAACAAGAAAGCACCGGCUAACUACGUG
This 468-nucleotide ribosomal RNA is filed under the name uncultured bacterium. RNAcentral describes it as "partial 16S ribosomal RNA". It matches the Rfam family "Bacterial small subunit ribosomal RNA", at positions 28 to 507 of the family's 1533-position model. The record is from RNAcentral.